CAACAUGCCAGUGCAUGACUUGGCAGUCAAUGAGGUUGCCUUGUCUUCACAUACUGGCAGCUCGAUCUGAUCUCGGAUUGAACAUGUUCACUGAAGAACUUUGUGACAGAAGAUGGUCUUUAGAUUACUACAAAUCUAACCACAGAGCAUUUUCACCUAUUGCUCAUCAAAGCCCGUCUACAGCAACCAUCGUUAGCUUUGAAACACCACCAAGAAAAGUACACUCUCAGUUUGAAAAAUUCCAUCAGGCUUCAAAGAUUGCUACCAAACUUGCUAGUUUAGCUUCAGAAGCAUCAGGAGUCAAUUUCACCAGCAGAUUGAAUGUGAUGAAAGAGUUGGUUUCUGCUUGGGAAAUGGACAAGAAGUGGAACUGAUCAGUGAUUCAACUGAAGGAGAGAAACAUGAUGAGGUCUUACAACUACUGCUUAAUCUUGACAAACCUUUGACAGAUGAUCAUUCACUAAAAUCAGACAAAACAAACUUUGCAAAGAAUAAAGCAGUAUGUGCGCCUACUGAAAAUAUCAUUGUUCAGGAGCCAAGAAGUGUUACAGUUAGUGAAUCACAACCACUCUCUCAUCCAUCAGAAACUCUCUCAUCCGAAGCAACUACCUCUAACUAUGACAAACGAAAUUUACAAAAUCUCCAAAUUUACCGGCUAAGAAGAAAGCAAAGUCAGGAAAAGUACAACCAUUCAUUAAGUUACACACAUCAUUGAAAGAAAGAGUCAUGUUAGCAUGGUUUGUUGAUGACAAUAUAGCAGCUGCUGCACUACAAAAUCGCAAGACGCUGAUCGAUGAAUCAGACAUCAAAGUUCAGCAAGGAAACAUCUCUAAUGCAGUCCUUGAUGACAAUGUUGACUUGCACAUAAUUCGAAACUUUUUCACCUAUGAUGCCUGGCUACUACUUACAGAUGUUGUCAAGCAGAAACGUAAACAUUGCAGUUAUGUUUGCCAAGUUUGCUUUCACAACUUGGAUGAGGAAGCAUCAAUUUUGUGUGACUAUUGCCUCUUGUGGUCCCACAUGAGUUGUGUUGGUCUUAAAGAAAGACCCAAAUCAAAGUGGUGGUUUUGCCAAAGCUGUCACAAGACUAGCAAAUAAGAUAAACUGGCUGUAGAGGCAACUGUUGCUAUGUAAAAUUAGAAACGUGUGUGUAUUAUGUGCAAGCUAUGCAGUGUUGUUUGACUAUAUAUUAAGAGCAAGAUCUGGCAGAGCAGAUGACAGAAUCAUGUAAUGCUAUUUUACCAGUAUCUUUUUACUCUCUUCAAACCACAGUGACAUAAGAACUAAAAUGAUAAUCUACCUACCUAUGUAUGCACCUGCCUACCUACCUAACUAUAUACCAUAUAGUUACGUAUAUAACCGGUUAUUACUGCAAUUUGA
This is an RNA transcript of Corticium candelabrum, 1380 nucleotides long. RefSeq lists it as uncharacterized. The record is from RefSeq and is a predicted model, not a curated record. The transcript has 7 exons. Lineage: Eukaryota; Metazoa; Porifera; Homoscleromorpha; Homosclerophorida; Plakinidae.